GAUAAACGCUGGCGGCGCACAAUAAGACAUGCAAGUCGAAACGGACUUAACUUCAUUCUUUACGAUUGAAGAGCGGUUAGUGGCGGACUGGUGAGUAACACGUAAGCAACCUGCCUAUCAGAGGGGAAUAACAGCGAGAAAUCGUUGCUAAUACCGCAUAAGCUGAUAGUAUCGCAUGAUACAGUCAGAAAAGGAGCAAUCCGCUGAUAGAUGGGCUUGCGUCUGAUUAGAUAGUUGGUGGGGUAACGGCCUACCAAGUCGACGAUCAGUAGCCGACCUGAGAGGGUGAUCGGCCACAUUGGGACUGAGACACGGACCCAAACUCCGUACGGGAGGCAGCAGGUGGGGAAUAGUUGGGCAAGUGGGGGGAACCCUGACCCAGCAACGCCGCGUGGAGGAAGAAGGUUUUCGGAUCGUAAACUCCUGUCCUCAGGGAAGAGCAGAAGACGGUACCUGAGGAGGAAGCCCCGGCUAACUACGUG
RNAcentral lists this ribosomal RNA (482 nucleotides) under uncultured bacterium. RNAcentral describes it as "bacterial SSU rRNA". It matches the Rfam family "Bacterial small subunit ribosomal RNA", at positions 28 to 507 of the family's 1533-position model. The record is from RNAcentral.